RNAcentral lists this ribosomal RNA (535 nucleotides) under uncultured bacterium. RNAcentral's name for it is "bacterial SSU rRNA". It matches the Rfam family "Bacterial small subunit ribosomal RNA", at positions 279 to 806 of the family's 1533-position model. The record is from RNAcentral.
AUCAGUAGCUGGUCUGAGAGGACGACCAGCCACACUGGGACUGAGACACGGCCCAGUCUCCUACGGGAGGCAGCAGUGGGGAAUUUUGGACAAUGGGCGCAAGCCUGAUCCAGCUAUUCCGCGUGUGGGAUGAAGGCCCUCGGGUUGUAAACCACUUUUGUAGAGAACGAAAAGACACCUUCGAAUAAAGGGUGUUGCUGACGGUACUCUAAGAAUAAGCACCGGCUAACUACGUGCCGGCAGCCGCGGUAAUACGUAGGGUGCGAGCGUUAAUCGGAAUUACUGGGCGUAAAGGGUGCGCAGGCGGUUGAGUAAGACAGAUGUGAAAUCCCCGAGCUUAACUCGGGAAUGGCAUAUGUGACUGCUCGGCUAGAGUGUGUCAGAGGGAGGUGGAAUUCCACGUGUAGCAGUGAAAUGCGUAGAUAUGUGGAAGAACACCGAUGGCGAAGGCAGCCUCCUGGGACAUAACUGACGCUCAGGCACGAAAGCGUGGGGAGCAAACAGGAUUAGAUACCCUGGUAGUCCACGCCCUAAA